UACGUAGGGCGCAAGCGUUGUCCGGAAUUAUUGGGCGUAAAGAGCUCGUAGGUGGCUUGUCGCGUCUGCCGUGAAAACCCGGAGCUCAACUCCGGGCCUGCAGUCGAUACGGGCGGACUUGAGUGUUGCAGGGGAGACUGGAAUUCCUGGUGUAGCGGUGAAAUGCGCAGAUAUCAGGAGGAACACCGGUGGCGAAGGCGGGUCUCUGGGCAACUACUGACGCUGAGGAGCGAAAGCGUGGGGAGCGAACAGG
RNAcentral lists this ribosomal RNA (253 nucleotides) under uncultured bacterium. RNAcentral's name for it is "partial 16S ribosomal RNA". It matches the Rfam family "Bacterial small subunit ribosomal RNA", at positions 524 to 776 of the family's 1533-position model. The record is from RNAcentral.